GGUUCUUUAGAAGUAGCUGGUGCCCAUUACUGGUUCUUUAGAAGUAGCUGGUGCCCAUUACUGGUGCUUUAGAAGUAGCUGGUGCCCAUUACUGGUGCUUUAGAAGUAGCUGGUGCCCAUUACUGGUGCUUUAGAAGUAGCUGGUGCCCAUUACUGGUGCUUUAGAAGUAGGCACAGGAGUAGAGAGAAUUCAUGUUGUGUUGCUGUGCAGCAUUUAUUGAUGCCAGUGUCUUGACCCACAAUAUAUCCAUUGAAUAUAAUUACAUAACACAAGAAUUGGUCCUCAAUCAUACGCUCCACUGCAGUUGACAGGUGUCCCCGUUUGCCUAAAUUUCCACUAGAAGCAAUGUUCUUUAGUUCGCCGUUUCCAUAACAAUAUUUGCACAAUCCAUUAAGAGUAACAACGCGGUCGUGACUGUUUUGUUGCAAUCCUAAUGUGCCUGGCGUGUCGGAUUGGAGGCGAUUCAUAGACGCGGGCAGGUGACAGGGACGCUCUGUGCGCUCAUAUCAAAGGGCCGUAUUGUUUACUUGCCAUAUUAACCUGGGGAGCUGGAUGAACUCAAUUGGAACAUUCACUUGAAAAGUCAUAAAACUUUCAGCACCUGGAAGGAGAACCCGGCCGUGAGGUAUGUAAAUAUUAUUCAUGGCGGCGUACGAGUACGAUCAUCUGUUUAUGUUUUCUAGGGCGAAUCCAUUGUUAUGAGGAAGAUGCAAACAUAAAGCCUGAGAGAAAAAUUCUGGCUGGGACCGGAUUUAACUACCUGGGAUUAGACUAUUCCAAUUGGACUGACCUUCCAGGAGGAGAACGAUGAUGUAAUAAAUGGACCAGUCAUGAACCCCAUCUCAACUUUAUUGUUCAGUAACAUUGCUGCGGUGACCGGAUCAUUGACUGCAGAUAGGAGGUUCUUGCACUCACAGGGAAUAAUCCAGUAUGUCUAUGGAGUCACAAUAUUUAUACAGAUUAUACGGAUAGAACGAAUGCCCAACCUGGCACCAGAAACGAGUGGUGAGGAAAUCUCUUACACUCGGCUCACCACAUGAGGAG
This is a long non-coding RNA of Hyla sarda, 1045 nucleotides long. RefSeq lists it as uncharacterized. NCBI's taxonomy places the organism in Eukaryota, Metazoa, Chordata, Amphibia, Anura, Hylidae. The record is from RefSeq and is a predicted model, not a curated record. The transcript has 3 exons.